CGGACGGGUGAGUAAUGUCUGGGAAACUGCCUGAUGGAGGGGGAUAACUACUGGAAACGGUGGCUAAUACCGCAUAACGUCGCAAGACCAAAGAGGGGGACCUUCGGGCCUCUUGCCAUCGGAUGUGCCCAGAUGGGAUUAGCUAGUAGGUGGGGUAACGGCUCACCUAGGCGACGAUCCCUAGCUGGUCUGAGAGGAUGACCAGCCACACUGGAACUGAGACACGGUCCAG
This 232-nucleotide ribosomal RNA is filed under the name uncultured bacterium. RNAcentral describes it as "partial 16S ribosomal RNA". It matches the Rfam family "Bacterial small subunit ribosomal RNA", at positions 99 to 334 of the family's 1533-position model. The record is from RNAcentral.